This is a long non-coding RNA of Mastomys coucha (southern multimammate mouse), 576 nucleotides long. RefSeq lists it as uncharacterized. Lineage: Eukaryota; Metazoa; Chordata; Mammalia; Rodentia; Muridae. The record is from RefSeq and is a predicted model, not a curated record. The transcript is spliced from 2 exons.
CUUGGUGAUCGGAGGCCUGGAGAUACACAGCCACAUCUCUCAUUUUCUCCACCUGAUUUUAAGACUCAACAGUAAGCUUUGCAAAUACAUAGUCCUAGGCCUCAUUUCCCGAAAGGUCCAUUAGUUGGAAUAGAAAUGAUUACACCAGUGUCAUCAGUAACAGCCAUCCGUCAAAGAGAACGUCUCCACCUGCUGCUGUGUCCUGCCUCGCUCUGGAGCUCUGUAGGCUCCCUGUGGACAGCCUAAGCACAAAGCCUUCUGUGGGCAGGAUCAUCUACAAGAAGGGAAACGUGAUUUUAGACAUCCUUGCCUCAUGCUGUCCCAGAGGAGCGGAUCAAGGCAAGCUCUGGAACCCUGGAGCAGCCCGGAGCCAGGCCACAAUUCCGGGACUUGUGCAGAGAUGAGCCCCAGCACCCCCACCCUACCCCCACUGCCUUUUCCUCUUCAGAGUGCCUACAGGACUGCAAUGCAACUACUGACCCAAGGAGGUACUUGUUUCAGAGACUGUGUUGCCCUUCCAUAUAUGGGAUGUGUCCCUGGCCCCAUUAAAAUAGGACAUUAAUAAUUCAAAACUUC